Molecule: ribosomal RNA, 96 nt
Filed under: Streptococcus pneumoniae
Lineage: Bacteria; Bacillati; Bacillota; Bacilli; Lactobacillales; Streptococcaceae
Description: partial 23S ribosomal RNA
Rfam family: Bacterial large subunit ribosomal RNA
Source: RNAcentral
AAGAGCCCUGAGAGAUGAUUAGGUAGAUAGGUUAGAAGUGGAAGUGUGGCGACACAUGUAGCGGACUAAUACUAAUAGCUCGAGGACUUAUCCAAA